This 685-nucleotide ribosomal RNA is filed under the name uncultured bacterium. Its description in RNAcentral is "bacterial SSU rRNA". It matches the Rfam family "Bacterial small subunit ribosomal RNA", at positions 59 to 746 of the family's 1533-position model. The record is from RNAcentral.
CAGUCGACGAAGCGAUUUAGCGGAAGUUUUCGGAUGGAAGCUAGAUUGACUGAGUGGCGGACGGGUGAGUAACGCGUGGGUAACCUGCCUCACACUGGGGGACAACAGUUAGAAAUGACUGCUAAUACCGCAUAAGCGCACAGGACCGCAUGGUCCGGUGUGAAAAACUCCGGUGGUGUGAGAUGGACCCGCGUUUGAUUAGCUAGUUGGUGGGGUAACGGCCUACCAAGGCGACGAUCAAUAGCCGACCUGAGAGGGUGACCGGCCACAUUGGGACUGAGACACGGCCCAAACUCCUACGGGAGGCAGCAGUGGGGAAUAUUGCACAAUGGGGGAAACCCUGAUGCAGCGACGCCGCGUGAGUGAAGAAGUAUUUCGGUAUGUAAAGCUCUAUCAGCAGGGAAGAAAAUGACGGUACCUGACUAAGAAGCCCCGGCUAACUACGUGCCAGCAGCCGCGGUAAUACGUAGGGGCAAGCGUUAUCCGGAUUUACUGGGUGUAAAGGGAGCGUAGACGGUAAAGCAAGUCUGAAGUGAAAGCCCGGGGCUCAACCCCGGGACUGCUUUGGAAACUGUUUAACUAGAGUGCUGGAGAGGUAAGCGGAAUUCCUAGUGUAGCGGUGAAAUGCGUAGAUAUUAGGAGGAACACCAGUGGCGAAGGCGGCUUACUGGACAGUAACUGACGU